This 253-nucleotide ribosomal RNA is filed under the name uncultured bacterium. RNAcentral describes it as "partial 16S ribosomal RNA". It matches the Rfam family "Bacterial small subunit ribosomal RNA", at positions 524 to 776 of the family's 1533-position model. The record is from RNAcentral.
UACGGAGGGUGCGAGCGUUAAUCGGAAUUACUGGGCGUAAAGGGUGCGUAGGUGGUUAAUUAAGUUAUCUGUGAAAUCCCUGGGCUCAACCUGGGCAGGUCAGAUAAAACUGUUUAACUCGAGUAUGGGAGAGGGUAGUGGAAUUUCCGGUGUAGCGGUGAAAUGCGUAGAGAUCGGAAGGAACACCAGUGGCGAAGGCAGCUCCCUGGGUCGACACUGACGCUGAUGCACGAAAGCGUGGGUAGCAAACAGG